Molecule: long non-coding RNA, 231 nt
Filed under: Vigna radiata
Lineage: Eukaryota; Viridiplantae; Streptophyta; Magnoliopsida; Fabales; Fabaceae
Description: long non-coding RNA (VRAD_LNC009163)
Source: RNAcentral
GGUGAUAAUGAGUGCAUUAAGUGUAAAAGAUGAAAAGGGUAUGUUUUUAUUUGGACAAGUCGAUCUGGGCAAAGUUCUUAGAAUAUGUGGCCAAGAGGAUAGGUUACAAUAUGAUUGAGUUAGGUUAGAAAGAAACAAUCAAAGAUGUUGACAGGGCAAGGGCACAACUAUGGUUUUAGAUGUUUCCUUCUCUUUCUGAUGUGACCUGUCUCUAACUCAUUGCCAUGCCCC